RNAcentral lists this transfer RNA (72 nucleotides) under Camelus bactrianus (Bactrian camel). It matches the Rfam family "tRNA". Rfam says of the family: Transfer RNA (tRNA) molecules are approximately 80 nucleotides in length. RNAcentral also lists the same sequence under 2 other names. Lineage: Eukaryota; Metazoa; Chordata; Mammalia; Artiodactyla; Camelidae. The record is from Rfam by way of RNAcentral.
GUGGGUACAGCUUGGUGCUAGAGCAUGUGCUUAGCAAGCACAAGGUCCUGGGUUCAGUCCCCAGUACCUCCA